UGGGGAAUAUUGCACAAUGGGGGAAACCCUGAUGCAGCGACGCCGCGUGAACGAAGAAGGUAUUCGUAUCGUAAAGUUCUGUCCUAUGGGAAGAUAAUGACAGUACCAUAGAAGAAAGCUCCGGUUAAACACGUGCCAGCAGCCGCGGUAAUACGUAUGGAGCGAGCGUUGUUCGGAAUUAUUGGGCGGAAAGGGUACGCAGGCGGUUUAAUAAGUCGAAUGUUAAAGAUCGGGGCUCAACCCCGCAAAGCAUUGGAAACUGAUAAACUUGAGUAGUGGAGAGGAAAGUGGAAUUCCUAGUGUAGUGGUGAAAUACGUAGAUAUUAGGAGGAAUACCAGAAGCGAAGGCAAGUUUCUGGACACAAACUGACGCUGAGGUACGAAAGCGUGGGGAGCAAACAGG
Molecule: ribosomal RNA, 403 nt
Filed under: bacterium
Lineage: Bacteria
Description: partial 16S ribosomal RNA
Rfam family: Bacterial small subunit ribosomal RNA
Source: RNAcentral